AAGUCUUGACAUCCUUUUGACCGAUGCCUAAUCGCAUCUUUCCCUUCGGGGACAGAAGUGACAGGGGGUGCAUGGUUGUCGUCAGCUCGUGUCGUGAGAUGUUGGGUUAAGUCCCGCAACGAGCGCAACCCUUGCCUUUAGUUGCCAGCAUUAAGUUGGGCACUCUAGAGGGACUGCCAGGGAUAACCUGGAGGAAGGGGGGGAUGACGUCAAAUCAUCAUGCCCCUUAUGCUUAGGGCUACACACGUGCUACAAUGGGUGGUACAGAGGGCACCCAAUUCGUGAGGCGGAGCUAAUCCCUUAAAGCCAUUCUCAGUUCGGAUUGUAGGCUGAAACUCGCCUACAUGAAGCUGGAGUUACUAGUAAUCGCAAAUCAAAAUGCUGCGGUGAAUGCGUUCCCGGGUUUGCACCCCCCGAAAA
This 420-nucleotide ribosomal RNA is filed under the name uncultured bacterium. RNAcentral's name for it is "bacterial SSU rRNA". It matches the Rfam family "Bacterial small subunit ribosomal RNA", at positions 976 to 1381 of the family's 1533-position model. The record is from RNAcentral.